GAUGAACGCUGGCGGCGUGCCUAAUACAUGCAAGUCGAGCGAACAGACGAGGAGCUUGCUCCUCUGACGUUAGCGGCGGACGGGUGAGUAACACGUGGAUAACCUACCUAUAAGACUGGGAUAACUUCGGGAAACCGGAGCUAAUACCGGAUAAUAUAUUGAACCGCAUGGUUCAAUAGUGAAAGACGGUUUUGCUGUCACUUAUAGAUGGAUCCGCGCCGCAUUAGCUAGUUGGUAAGGUAACAGCUUACCAAGGCAACGAUGCGUAGCCGACCUGAGAGGGUGAUCGGCCACACUGGAACUGAGACACGGUCCAGACUCCUACGGGAGGCAGCAGUAGGGAAUCUUCCGCAAUGGGCGAAAGCCUGACGGAGCAACGCCGCGUGAGUGAUGAAGGUCUUCGGAUCGUAAAACUCUGUUAUUAGGGAAGAACAAAUGUGUAAGUAACUAUGCACGUCUUGACGGUACCUAAUCAGAAGGCCACGGCUAACUACG
This 495-nucleotide ribosomal RNA is filed under the name uncultured bacterium. RNAcentral describes it as "partial 16S ribosomal RNA". It matches the Rfam family "Bacterial small subunit ribosomal RNA", at positions 28 to 505 of the family's 1533-position model. The record is from RNAcentral.